GUGGAAUUUUUGUAAAAUUCUCCCAGCCCCGGUUAUAUGAAGAUCCUCUCUCUGCUCAUAAGGCCGUGCCACCUUUUUCUAUUUUCUAUUUCAUGUUUACUGUAAAAUUAAUCACCUGACUGACUACUCUUGAAAUUACCUUGACUGCAUUUGUCCAAUGUUUGUGUUUUCGAUAUACAUGUAACUCUGUAUUUUGGUUGGUGGUGUCAGAGUUUAGGCACAUUUUUCUUAAUGAAACUUUGUCAUGUGUCUUUCACGUUUUCACUCCUUUAGAUUUGACAGUUGAAUGGUGCAAAUGGGAGUUUGGAUUCAGAGAAGUUGUGGAAACCACCUCCAAACAGAGACUAUGUACCUUGUGUUGCCCCAAGUUCAUCCUAUGCGUGUAAGAAAUGUUGGGUGUUUCAUACUGCAUAUCUAAUAGAGUUUUCUCCUCCUUUGUAGCUCGUGUUAGAUAUCCAUCUGUGGCUUAUUUUCUGUAUUGCAAUAUAAUCUUCAGCUCCUCCAGAAUCUCGAGGUUACCUGCUGGUUGAUGCAAAUGGCGGCCUCAAUCAAAUGAGAGCUGGGGUCUCUCUCUCUCUCUCUGAUGCUAAUGCUAUUUUAUUUAAUUCUUGAUCAGCUUCUGUUGUCUUUUGUAAUUAUACAUUGGCUUAUCUGUAUAUCUAUUUUUUGUAAACAUGAAUCCAAUGUAUGAAUAAGUAGAUAGAUAGAUCAAAAUAUAAGAUGUAAUAUAUCUUUAUGCUUUUGUAAUUUGGUGGUUUGCAUAAUGUUUAAAAACUAGAAUAGUGUGAAGCUAUGAUAUAACUUCCCUCAGCAGUUAACUAGAAGAUAAAUGGAACUUGGGGACGCAACACAAGAAUUUGUAGUGGAUUUUAAAUUCAUUUCAGAUACAUCCUUGACUGGAAAAACUAAUGAUCUGAAUGUUCUCAAUUUAAUCAUAGUUGUAAAUUUGAGACCUAC
Molecule: long non-coding RNA, 957 nt
Filed under: Olea europaea subsp. europaea
Lineage: Eukaryota; Viridiplantae; Streptophyta; Magnoliopsida; Lamiales; Oleaceae
Source: RNAcentral